This 636-nucleotide long non-coding RNA is filed under the name Bos mutus (wild yak). RNAcentral describes it as "lncRNA (ENSBMUG00000015932.1)". The record is from RNAcentral. Lineage: Eukaryota; Metazoa; Chordata; Mammalia; Artiodactyla; Bovidae.
AAGGCGCGUUCCUCCGUACAGUACUCCGGCAGGGCUUAUAUAGGCAAUCCAAACCCAGCCCAAGCAAACCUCCCCAAACCCAACACUUGCAGCAUGUCCAAAAUGGGAGACAGGCGCCUGAGUAACCCGGGCCAAGACGCCGAAAGGAGCCUGUUUGCGUACUGCGGCUGCCCUGUGAUUCUGGAUCUUGUCUCCUGGCCGGCGCCUCGAUUCCUACCCAGCUGGAUUGGGGGGCAACACUGCCUGGCGCAGCCAAGAGAGCGAAUGAGACCACAAAGAAGCAUAAAAUGAAUAGACAAUCCAACCAACCAAAGACCCGGGGCAGCAGCACGCCAGCAAGACGGCAUCUUCUCCUCCCCAGCCUAGAAGCCCUGUGAAAUCGAGGAUCUUCCCCCUAAAACACACACGCACAAGAUAUGUGCAAUCAAGCUGCCACCGCUUGGUAAAAAACCUCAUGGUGCCUACCCCAAAGGAUCCGGAGCAGAUCCUUGAAUCAGCUGUCACUUCUUCUAUAGAAUGGGAUUUUUUUUUUCCUUCCUCCUUAACCUGCACUGGAAAUUGCCUUUGGCUUUACACGUCUCUAUAGAGGGAGGCUAAAGAGUCUUGCGUGAGAAUGAAGCAAUUUACAAUGCAAAU